UGCUCUGUGAUUACAGACUCUGGCUCCUCUUCCACCUCAGAAGAUGAGCGGCCCAAGAGAUCCCAUGUGAAGAAUGGUGAGGUAGGCAGGCGGCGGAGACAUUCUCCUUCUCGGAGUGCCUCUCCAUCACCUCGAAAGCGCCAAAAAGAGACUUCCCCUCGGAUGCAGAUGGGAAAGCGAUGGCAGUCGCCAGUGACUAAAAGGUUGGUUAGACACUGUGUUUGCAAAUUAGGGUUCCAUACCAAGUUUACCUAGUUCCCCGCUCACGGACACAUUAUGUCUGGAGGAAGCCUUAAGUUGCUUUGGUGUGUGUGUUUUUGUUUUUACCACGCCAGAUAAAUGGUGCAAGAUCUGUGUGAGGAGUUGGCUUUAGAUUAUUUUUUAAUCUGGGAAUUCU
RNAcentral lists this long non-coding RNA (397 nucleotides) under Rattus norvegicus (Norway rat). RNAcentral's name for it is "long non-coding RNA NONRATT023714". The record is from RNAcentral. Lineage: Eukaryota; Metazoa; Chordata; Mammalia; Rodentia; Muridae.